AUUUAUAUAGUUUAUAAAAACAUUACAUUUUCAUUGUAAAAAUAAAAAACUUUUUUUUGUAAAUA
Molecule: transfer RNA, 65 nt
Filed under: Ampittia virgata
Lineage: Eukaryota; Metazoa; Arthropoda; Insecta; Lepidoptera; Hesperiidae
Description: tRNA-Glu
Source: RNAcentral